CCCUCGGCGUCUUUGGACGCCACUCUCUUUUUGGUAUGAGAGGAGU
This is a non-coding RNA of Hordeum vulgare subsp. vulgare (domesticated barley), 46 nucleotides long. Lineage: Eukaryota; Viridiplantae; Streptophyta; Magnoliopsida; Poales; Poaceae. The record is from Rfam.